GAUGAACGCUGGCGGCGUGCUUAACACAUGCAAGUCGAACGGUACGGCCCCUGCCUGCAGGUGUACUCGAGUGGCGAACGGGUGAGUAACACGUGGGUGAACUGCCCUGUACUUUGGGAUAAGCUUGGGGAACUGGGUCUAAUACCGGAUAUGACAAUCUCUUGGAUGGGGUUGUGGAAAGCUUUUGCGGUAUGGGAUGAGCUCGCGGCCUAUCAGCGUGUUGGUGGGGUAAUGGCAUACCAAGGCGUCGGCGGGUAGCCGGCCUGAGAGGGUGUACGGCCACAUUGGGACUAAGAUACGGCCCAGACUCCUACGUGAGGCAGCGGUGGGAAAUAUUGCACAAUAGGCGCAAGCCUGAUGCAACGGCGUCGGGUUGGGGAUAACGGCCUUCGGGUUAUAAACACCUUUCUCAACCAACGAAGCUUUUGUGACGGUAGCUAGAGAGAAAGCACCGGCUAACUACGUG
Molecule: ribosomal RNA, 466 nt
Filed under: uncultured bacterium
Lineage: Bacteria
Description: partial 16S ribosomal RNA
Rfam family: Bacterial small subunit ribosomal RNA
Source: RNAcentral